CGUGUAGCCGGGUCGGCAAGUCAGAUGUGAAAUCUAUGGGCUCAACUCAUAAACUGCAUUUGAAACUGUUGAUCUUGAGUAUCGGAGAGGCAAUCGGAAUUCCUAGUGUAGCGGUGAAAUGCGUAGAGAUCUGGAGGAAUACCGAUUGCGAAGGCAGCCCCCUGGACAGUGACUGACGCUCAUAUGCGAAAGCGUGGGGAUCAAACAGGAUUAGAUACCCGCGUA
RNAcentral lists this ribosomal RNA (225 nucleotides) under uncultured Thorsellia sp. Its description in RNAcentral is "partial 16S ribosomal RNA". It matches the Rfam family "Bacterial small subunit ribosomal RNA", at positions 568 to 792 of the family's 1533-position model. The record is from RNAcentral. Lineage: Bacteria; Pseudomonadati; Pseudomonadota; Gammaproteobacteria; Enterobacterales; Thorselliaceae.